Long non-coding RNA from Nicotiana attenuata, 704 nucleotides. RefSeq lists it as uncharacterized. NCBI's taxonomy places the organism in Eukaryota, Viridiplantae, Streptophyta, Magnoliopsida, Solanales, Solanaceae. The transcript is spliced from 2 exons. The record is from RefSeq and is a predicted model, not a curated record.
AGGGAAAGAAAGGGUAAGGCAAACAGAAGCAAAACGGGUUUCAGAAGAAAAAAAAAAGAUCCCAAGCAUCGAACGGGAAAAACAAAAGAAAGAGAUUCUCGGGUGUUUCUUUAGCGCCGAAGAUCGUGUUUCAUCUAAUCUUUGGCAUACAAUUCCUUGGGUUUCAGCAAUACACUCCAGAGACAGCAGUUGACGCGGGCGAGGAUUUCAAUAAUUAGAGCGCACAGGUUGAUAUAGUUUCUUGGUGAGCCUUGCACUUGUUCGCACGGGCAGAGAUUUUAUUUAUUGUUAUGGUCGUUCUUUGAACUCUUAGAAUCGCUCCAGAGUCAUCAUUUUGGUGUCAUGAGUAUUAUUUUGUUAUUAUAGUCUUAUGUUGAGUAUCGUUCUUUAUUAUCAAAGUUGGAGAUAAUUAGUGUUUUUAGUUGUUAGUGGGUUGAUUAGCAAUGGUGGAGACUUGUUUUGGUUAAUUGAUAAGUUGUCGAUUGGUUGGUUUGAUUUUAGGAUGGGUUGUUGUUGAUUUUGAGACCGGGAAAAUUUUUGGAUUGUCUAAAAACAGGGAAAACUCUGCCCGAUUUUCUGUAAAAUACUGAUGAGACUUACUUGGAGACACUUGCUCCUGAGCGCCGGUCACGAUCCUGAAUUGGAUCGUGACAUUUGGAGGGAUCCUAAAUUCGCUCAUUUAAUGCUUGAUAAUUUUUCUUGAA